Molecule: ribosomal RNA, 199 nt
Filed under: uncultured bacterium
Lineage: Bacteria
Description: partial 16S ribosomal RNA
Rfam family: Bacterial small subunit ribosomal RNA
Source: RNAcentral
ACGCUCGACACCUACAGGAGGCAGCAGUGGGGAAUAUUGCACAAUGGGGGAAACCCUGAUGCAGCGACGCCGCGUGAGCGAAGAAGUAUUUCGGUAUGUAAAGCUCUAUCAGCAGGGAAGAAGAAAGACGGUACCUGACUAAGAAGCCCCGGCUAACUACGUGCUAGCAGCCGCGGUAAUCUGAGCGGGCUGGCAAGGC